UUGCACGCUGGCGGCAGGCCUAACCCAUGCAAGUCGCACGGUAACAGGAAGAAGCUUGCUUCUUUGCUGACGAGUGGCGGACGGGUGAGUAAUGUCUGGGAAACUGCCUGAUGGAGGGGGAUAACUACUGGAAACGGUAGCUAAUACCGCAUAACGUCGCAAGACCAAAGAGGGGGACCUUCGGGCCUCUUGCCAUCGGAUGUGCCCAGAUGGGAUUAGCUAGUAGGUGGGGUAACGGCUCACCUAGGCGACGAUCCCUAGCUGGUCUGAGAGGAUGACCAGCCACACUGGAACUGAGACACGGUCCAGACUCCUACGGGAGGCAGCAGUGGGGAAUAUUGCACAAUGGGCGAAAGCCUGAUGCAGCCAUGCCGCGUGUAUGAAGAAGGCCUUCGGGUUGUAAAGUACUUUCAGCGGGGAGGAAGGGAGUAACGUUAAUACCUUUGCUCAUUGACGUUACCCGCAGAAGAAGCACCGGCUAACUCCGUG
Molecule: ribosomal RNA, 489 nt
Filed under: uncultured bacterium
Lineage: Bacteria
Description: partial 16S ribosomal RNA
Rfam family: Bacterial small subunit ribosomal RNA
Source: RNAcentral